GGAGAAAUGGCGGAAUAGGCAGACGCACCAUUAGAUGACAGGAAGGCCAACCUUGGAUGUGGCGGACCUGGCAACUCAUCCCGGUUCGAAUCCGGGUUUCUCCACCA
Molecule: transfer RNA, 107 nt
Filed under: Phocaeicola vulgatus
Lineage: Bacteria; Pseudomonadati; Bacteroidota; Bacteroidia; Bacteroidales; Bacteroidaceae
Also listed under: 1 other name
Description: tRNA-Xxx
Rfam family: tRNA
About the family: Transfer RNA (tRNA) molecules are approximately 80 nucleotides in length. Their secondary structure includes four short double-helical elements and three loops (D, anti-codon, and T loops).
Source: RNAcentral